Molecule: non-coding RNA, 73 nt
Filed under: Desulfobulbaceae bacterium
Lineage: Bacteria; Pseudomonadati; Thermodesulfobacteriota; Desulfobulbia; Desulfobulbales; Desulfobulbaceae
Description: c-di-GMP sequence
Rfam family: c-di-GMP-I-GGC riboswitch aptamer
Source: RNAcentral
CAAGAGAAAGCCAAACCUGCCGUAAGGCAGGGACGGAAAGCUACGGGUCUAUUAGAUAGCCGGGCUGCCUGAA